AUGGACAUUCAUUUUCCCUACCUUUUUUUCCACCACAAUGUAUAUUCAAUUUAAAACUUGAAUGCUCUAUGACGUUUUUUUAUUUAUUUCCCACACGUCCAACCUUGAAAUAUAAUGGUUGUUGCCAUGAAAACUGCUGGUACUUCAGAAAAUGCUCAAAGCCCUGUUGGGUCAGCUGCAUCUGUUGGUAUUCAUUUAUCUCCUAUCAUGGCAUCUUUUUGUAA
This 224-nucleotide long non-coding RNA is filed under the name Prunus dulcis (almond). RNAcentral describes it as "sRNA ncRNA". Lineage: Eukaryota; Viridiplantae; Streptophyta; Magnoliopsida; Rosales; Rosaceae. The record is from RNAcentral.